This 253-nucleotide ribosomal RNA is filed under the name uncultured bacterium. Its description in RNAcentral is "partial 16S ribosomal RNA". It matches the Rfam family "Bacterial small subunit ribosomal RNA", at positions 524 to 776 of the family's 1533-position model. The record is from RNAcentral.
UACGUAGGGUGCGAGCGUUACUCGGAAUUACUGGGCGUAAAGCGCACGUAGGCGGACUAUUAAGUCAGGGGUGAAAUCCCGGGGCUCAACCCCGGAACUGCCUUUGAUACUGGUAGUCUCGAGUCCGGAAGAGGUGAGUGGAAUUCCGAGUGUAGAGGUGAAAUUCGUAGAUAUUCGGAGGAACACCAGUGGCGAAGGCGGCUCACUGGUCCGGUACUGACGCUGAGGUGCGAAAGCGUGGGGAGCAAACAGG